UCUGGCGCAAUUGGUAGCGCAACGGUCUCCAAAACCGUAGGUUGUGGGUUCGAGUCCCGC
RNAcentral lists this transfer RNA (60 nucleotides) under Alloscardovia omnicolens. It matches the Rfam family "tRNA", at positions 8 to 63 of the family's 71-position model. Rfam says of the family: Transfer RNA (tRNA) molecules are approximately 80 nucleotides in length. Their secondary structure includes four short double-helical elements and three loops (D, anti-codon, and T loops). Further hydrogen bonds mediate the characteristic L-shaped molecular structure. tRNAs have two regions of fundamental functional importance: the anti-codon, which is responsible for specific mRNA codon recognition, and the 3' end, to which the tRNAs corresponding amino acid is attached (by aminoacyl-tRNA synthetases). tRNAs cope with the degeneracy of the genetic code in two manners: having more than one tRNA (with a specific anti-codon) for a particular amino acid; and 'wobble' base-pairing, i.e. permitting non-standard base-pairing at the 3rd anti-codon position. The record is from RNAcentral. Lineage: Bacteria; Bacillati; Actinomycetota; Actinomycetes; Bifidobacteriales; Bifidobacteriaceae.